This 157-nucleotide ribosomal RNA is filed under the name uncultured bacterium. RNAcentral describes it as "partial 16S ribosomal RNA". It matches the Rfam family "Bacterial small subunit ribosomal RNA", at positions 1372 to 1528 of the family's 1533-position model. The record is from RNAcentral.
GCUUGGGCCUUGUACACACCGCCCGUCACACCAUGGGAGUUGGUUUUACCCGAAGACGGUGCGCUAACCGCAAGGAGGCAGCCGGCCACGGUAAGGUCAGCGACUGGGGUGAAGUCGUAACAAGGUAGCCGUAGGGGAACCUGCGGCUGGAUCACCU